RNAcentral lists this RNase P RNA (201 nucleotides) under Desulfobacterales bacterium. Its description in RNAcentral is "partial RNase P RNA component class A". It matches the Rfam family "Bacterial RNase P class A", at positions 1 to 190 of the family's 367-position model. From Rfam's summary of the family: Ribonuclease P (RNase P) is a ubiquitous endoribonuclease, found in archaea, bacteria and eukarya as well as chloroplasts and mitochondria. The record is from RNAcentral. Lineage: Bacteria; Pseudomonadati; Thermodesulfobacteriota; Desulfobacteria; Desulfobacterales.
GGAGCAGUACAAACGAUCGCUGGAUAUUUUAUCCGGAGGAAAGUCCGAACACCACAGGGCAGGGUGCUCCAUAACGUGGAGUCACGGUGACGUGAAGGAAAGUGCAACAGAAAGUAUACCGCCUUUUUUGGCGAUCUGUAAAGAUCUGCUAAAAAAGGUAAGGGUGAAAAGGUGCGGUAAGAGCGCACCAGUUCCCCGGGU